Molecule: ribosomal RNA, 259 nt
Filed under: uncultured bacterium
Lineage: Bacteria
Description: partial 16S ribosomal RNA
Rfam family: Bacterial small subunit ribosomal RNA
Source: RNAcentral
UUGGCGGACGGGUGAGUAACGCGUGGAAAACCUGCCGUAUACUGGGGGAUAACACUUAGAAAUAGGUGCUAAUACCGCAUAAGCGCACAGCUUCGCAUGAAGCGGUGUGAAAAACUCUGGUGGUAUACGAUGGUUCCGCGUCUGAUUAGCUAGUUGGUGGGGUAAUGGCCUACCAAGGCAACGAUCAGUAGCCGGCCCGAGAGGGUGAACGGCCACAUUGGGACUGAGACACGGCCCAAACUCCUACGGGAGGCAGCAG